This 72-nucleotide transfer RNA is filed under the name Schistosoma curassoni. It matches the Rfam family "tRNA". From Rfam's summary of the family: Transfer RNA (tRNA) molecules are approximately 80 nucleotides in length. Their secondary structure includes four short double-helical elements and three loops (D, anti-codon, and T loops). Further hydrogen bonds mediate the characteristic L-shaped molecular structure. tRNAs have two regions of fundamental functional importance: the anti-codon, which is responsible for specific mRNA codon recognition, and the 3' end, to which the tRNAs corresponding amino acid is attached (by aminoacyl-tRNA synthetases). tRNAs cope with the degeneracy of the genetic code in two manners: having more than one tRNA (with a specific anti-codon) for a particular amino acid; and 'wobble' base-pairing, i.e. permitting non-standard base-pairing at the 3rd anti-codon position. The record is from Rfam by way of RNAcentral. Lineage: Eukaryota; Metazoa; Platyhelminthes; Trematoda; Strigeidida; Schistosomatidae.
GCCCGGUUAGCUCAGUCGGUAGAGCAUCAGACUUUUAAUCUGGGGGUCGGGGUUGGAGCCCACCAUCGGGCG